GUAAGGAAUAUUGGACAAUGGACGCAAGUCUGAUCCAGCCAUGCCGCGUGAAGGAUUAAGGUCCUCUGGAUUGUAAACUUCUUUUAUAAGGGACGAAAAAAGGCUUUUCUAAGUCGUCUGACGGUACCUUAUGAAUAAGCACCGGCUAACUCCGUGCCAGCAGCCGCGGUAAUACGGAGGGUGAAAGCGUUAUCCGGAUUCACUGGGGUUAAAGGGUGCGUAGUCGGGCAGGUAAGUCAGUGGUAAAAUCCUAGAGCUUAACUCUAGAACUGCCAUUGAUACUAUCUGUCUUGAAUAUUGUGGAGGUAAGCGGAAUAUGUCAUGUAGCGGUGAAAUGCUUAGAUAUGACAUAGAACACCUAUUGCGAAGGCAGCUUACUACGCAUGUAUUGACGCUGAGGCACGAAAGCGUGGGGAUCAAACAGGAUUAGAAACCCGUGUAGUCC
Molecule: ribosomal RNA, 445 nt
Filed under: uncultured bacterium
Lineage: Bacteria
Description: partial 16S ribosomal RNA
Rfam family: Bacterial small subunit ribosomal RNA
Source: RNAcentral